AAUCAACGCUGGCGGCGUGCCUAACACAUGCAAGUCGAACGCGAAAGCCCUUUCGGGGGUAAGUAGAGUGGCGUCCGGGUGAGUAACACGUAGGUAAUCUACCUUCGGGUGGGGAAUAACCAGUCGAAAGAUUGGCUAAUACCGCAUAAUGCAGCGGCACCUAAUGGUGAUUAGUUGUUAAAGCGGGGGAUCGUAAGACCUCGCGCCUGAAGAGGAGCCUGCGGCAGAUUAGCUAGUUGGGAGGUAAUGGCUCACCAAGGCGACGAUCGGUAGCUGGUCUGAGAGGACGACCAGCCACACUGGAACCUGAGACACGGUCCAGACUCCUACGGGAGGCAGCAGUGGGGAAUAUUGGGCAAUGGAGGCAACUCUGACCCAGCCAUGCCGCGUGGGUGACGAAGGUCUUCGGAUUGUAAAGCCCUUUC
Molecule: ribosomal RNA, 425 nt
Filed under: uncultured bacterium
Lineage: Bacteria
Description: bacterial SSU rRNA
Rfam family: Bacterial small subunit ribosomal RNA
Source: RNAcentral